This 3531-nucleotide long non-coding RNA is filed under the name Monomorium pharaonis (pharaoh ant). RNAcentral's name for it is "uncharacterized LOC118647296". Lineage: Eukaryota; Metazoa; Arthropoda; Insecta; Hymenoptera; Formicidae. The record is from RNAcentral.
UGAACCACCAGUCACCGAGGCAUCGUCCGGGGCUCGAGCGACGUCGGGGACACCGCCGGGGUCUACGCGACAGAUACCGGCGAUCUGUGUGAAUCGCGACAGCGAAUGACGUGACGCAGAAAGAAAAAUGCCUUGGACUCGAAGCACUUCCACUAUAAAUGCAAAAUAUUAAUAACCGCGUGUCUAUAUGAUUACACGUUACUGUUCUAAUACUCGGCCGAAUAAAUUGUAAUUUAAUUAACACUAUGUAUAUCGAGAUCCGUGCGUGCGUACAACACGCGUCGCGGUUCCGUGCGCGCAUGCAUGCAAGAGAACAGUUGUCAUGUUAUUAGAAGGAUAAUAGCGUGGAAAAUCCACACCGCUCGUUUUCAGCAAUUGCGAGGGGCCCUAAAUAACAGUAAUACGCGCGUCGAUGUAUUAACACGUAUAAAAUUGUAAGCGACAAAGUACCGUUUGUCUUUGGUACAAUUUGGAGAGGCGUGUCGAGGAUGAGUACGGUCUUGCAGGUCGUACCAAUUAAGUAGUCUCGGCCAGUAAAAUUCCCCGUGAGGGAAUUCGAAGAAGAGAGAGAGGAGACAUUACCUCAAGGGGAAUUUUACUUGCUAAACAAGAUUCUCUUUCUCAAAUGUUCAUAAAUUUAAUCGGAAUUUAAAAUUCCGUCUCCCGCUUAAGCUCGAUUUAGAUUUCGGGAUUUAUAGCGAUGAAUAAUUCACGAAGCGGUUAUACAAUGGUGGAGCCAGCUCGAAAAAAAAAACUGGUGUUGCAGCCGAGAGAGCUUUUCGAGGGAAGGGGGAGGGAACUGCUACGGUAAAAAUAGACCGAUCUAUCAGCAAUCUCCUCGCAAAUUAUCGCGAUUAAUUAUUCCUCUAGCAGAACAAAACGCGCGUACGUCUCUCGGCGGCCGCGGUUUCGUUCUGUAAUAUAAUACUCGCGCGAGAUUUUUUCGUCGUAAAGCAAGUUGAGUAACAACAACGGUCGAUACACACGAAUCUCUCGAAGCGUCAUUAAUUACGGGCUUCUCGGAAGAGAUUAGCAUUAGAGCCGCGUUGGUAACCGCGAGCGCGAGCGUUAGGAAAGCUGCGCCGGCAGAUCGCUGAUUCAUUUCAGCGUGAAGGAGUUGCUCAAAAGGCGCGAUCCGUUGCUAUAAUAUAAUUCGUAUGUUUGGUAAGUAAGGCGCGCCGAUUGAGCGCGGAAACGGCACGUUGGGCAAUAUCGCACGCGUGUUGCAUAAUAUUGUCCCCCUCGCACGCGCGAGAUUGAAUCUUCGAAUGUGGGAUUCUUUCAUUUCAAACGGCAACUUAAUAUGCACGCUGCGCUGCGAAACACAUGGAUCCUGCGAAGAAGACGGUGAUGAGUGACGUACGCAAUAUUAUAGUGCAGGUGUUGAUUGACGGAAUUUAGAAUAGCUAUGUUUCUUGAAAGUCCUGGCUGAUAAUUCACUCAAUUUGCCCUUUCCCUCGUCUUUCGAUCACUUUCCCAAUUUUAUUUCUGCAAAUCUGGCACGCCAGGAACGUUAAUCUGCUCUAGUACUCUUCGCCGCCAGAAAAGACCAAUACUCUUUCAUAAAGUGCGGGAUGCGAUUGGAGAGGAGGCAGUUGGUUGCGUUGCUCAUCAAGAAACCUUCACCACCAUCUGGCUGUUAGCCUCGGCAUGCGAGGAGAUAUUUCUUACCAGCUUGCGAGUGCUAACCGCAAAGUUGGUAUCCGAUGACACCUUCGUUGUUGACGAUACCCUUGACUCGGUGAUCCCGGCUGAGGAUCUCGAUCUCUUAGUCAUAUAUCGACGGUGACUUUGCGAUUUCGAGCAACGAGACGGGAAAAGGCUCGUCCUUCUCGAUCCAGUUACAGACGACGAUCUCGGUGGUAGAAUUGGCAUCGACGGCCUUGGUCUCGCCAGUCUUCGCCUUGACCUCGGCCUUCUCUUCCGUUCUCACUUUAAUCUCGACGUCCGUGCUUCCGUCUGAGCCUGGACCUCGGACUCUACCUUUAGCUUGGCUUGAUUGCCGAGACGAGAUUGUUCGCCGCGAGAAAAACGAAGGGAACGAUAGUGAGCAAUCACUCGGGGCUGAGACACCAUUCGCCAAUCGCUAAUAUUUGUUUAACACUUCGAAAAGAAAUCGAAAGAAAGAGUCGAAGAUUUCUCUAUAUAUUCUCUUAAUAUUCGCUCGUAUGUACAUUGUGUUUGCCGUUUAAUCAUGUCGCGAGGAGGAAAGAAUCGUAUUCCAGCAACUGGAUUUCUUUAUCGUUUCCAAGAACAAAAGUAUUUUAGCCUCCCUCCCUCCUCUGUCCAUCCUUUCUUUUUUUAGGAAAAAAAUUAAAAAAUAGGAAGUUGAGCAUAUAAGGAUAAAAGGGGGUAGAUACAAAUUUAUUUACAUUUGUUAUUAAUUCGUCAUUGUACUCAGUACUGAAGAACAAGAAAUUGCUAAAUGCCAGAUAUAGCUCGUAGUUUGAUCGCGGAAUGCCAGGCGGCUUAACUUGUCAAGUUAAAGUCUGAUUGUCAAAAGACAAAAAGACAAAUUAUAAAUCUUCGUACUCGACAUUGUCGCGUGCGCUCUAUAAUCGAGAAGUGAAGAGAAAGAGGGAGAGGAAAUAAUAAUUCGUCACAAAAAGACUCGGGAAAGAAACCUCUAUGGCGAGUACGCGUACUCGAAUGCGUGCCGGAUGUGAUGUAAUUGUUGCUAAAGCCGACGGAACACAAUUGGGACGAUAUUGUGCGCCGAGAUUACAACGGGACAACGGCCGCACUUGCUGCUGCAUGGGCUGGGCAACUCCGGCCAGUGUGAAACGAUACGUGCAGGCCAACACCUAAUGGUAAUUUGAGAUCUGCCUGCCUAAAUUGGAGAGAGCUCUCGAAUUUUCGCACACGAAUCGUCGCACGCUGUUUACCCUACCGUUUAUCACCUUUGCCGAGAUAACGAGGAGAAAAGAACCACAAUACCUAGAAAAUAUCUGUCUAGCAAUCGUUCAAUUUCAAUCUAAGAAAUCCUACGAAAACACACAGUUGCGGCUGUAAAACUUAUUUUUCGUGUUAUGAUUGCUUAUGAUACUUUUCAAUCAGAUUACUUCCUCAAUUACAUCACGCGUAUAUCAUUUCUAUCACUGCCGACUGCGCGGACACUGGUACUGCCACUGUGUUUAACGCCCGUACCGCGUUUGAGAUAAGUGUAGAAAUAAAUCGCGGAGAAACACUCUUUGACGUAGGAAAGUCGAAUGCUGUUGCUGGGUAUAAUUAAUUGAGAAUCCGGCUUACGUAAGAAUCUGCCUAUGUAAGAACUGUGCGUUAUUGUUCGUCGUAACGCAAGUCGUAAAAUAUAGGGCAGCAGAAGAGGACUGAGAGGAACAAACGAAUUGUAAAGUAACGCAUGAAAGAGUAUACAGGAAAAAUAUGAGAAUACAACAAAAUACAGAGUCCGGAGUUUACAAUACUCGAAUUCUUAUCCAUAAAACUUUUGCUCAUAAAAUUAUACUGUAUAUAGAAUUACAGAUAUUUAUGUUCUUACUAGUGAAAUGCAUUUAUAUUUCUAACAGUUAU